AGGCGUCAUUUCUGCGGAUGGCUUAACCUAUGUAGAUGACACUUCAUUUUGCAGCCAAAUGGUCACCUUUUCACCAAGAUCGGGGUACAUUGAGACGGCAUCUAGUAAGAAUCUCUGUCAAUCUCUUUUACCUAAUUUAAAAUGACUGUGGCAGGGAAACGGUAUUCAAGCUUCUCACAGAGAGUGGCUAAUCAUAACUGAAGUAUCAAAACAGCAGUAGUUGUUUGCACGUGAUUGGAAAUAUGGAAUAAUGUUGAAUUCAGAGUUAGUUGGCGCGAUGAAAAUCAGUCCAAAUGAACUGCUUUGUAAAGGAUGUCAUUCUUUACGAAGAUACGGCAACUAAACGCAAAGGUCUUAAAAGUAAAUAUGAUGAAAAAAAAAAAGUUUUGAUGUUGUAUUACAUAAUCUAUUAGACAGCUUUACUGCUAUUAUUAUUUUCAUAUAAAAUGAUUCUUUGUAUAAUGUGGGAAAUAAUAAAAAAUAAUUCCACAGGAUAAUUUUUUUUUAAAUGUGCAACUGCAUAUUUUCAACUGAUAAAAAAACCGAAUUAAGUAUUUCAAAUGUAGCGAAAAAUGACCUUUUCUCUGAGAGGAUUGAAUGGAUGAAUUUAAACAUAUUGAAUAUGUAAAAACAAUUACGUAAUGCCUCCCCCCUCCGAAACGAAUAUAUUGUAGUAUAAUUUUAAGUUGCUUGGAAAGUAGAUUAAUUUUCAAUUUUUUUAAAAUGUAUGAUGACAACAACAAUUUCUAACUUUUAAAAGAAUUCUUCAUAAAAAGUAUUAUUUUUUUAUUAAUUCCAUGAAAUACAAAUUUUAACAGUAGCAUCAUGUUUACCUCGUAUUUUAUUAAUGCACUACUAAUUGUUAAAAAUAUUAAAAGAGCAUUUUGCAUGAUAUAUGCGAAUACAUUAUUUGGAUUAUAUCGCUGCAUAAAAAAAAGUUUUGUAUGAAUUUAUUGCUACAUUAAACUGGAAUAAAAUCCGUUGUGCAAAGUGAAUACAAGAUUUUGACAUAUCUUCGAUAGUUGAGCACCGCCAAUUUUGCAACAGAACCAGUAAGCAAACAGCGUCUAAACUCCUUUUGCAUAGAAAUGUGUGUGUUUUUUUAUAGAAUUGUGAAUAUUAAAAAAAAAAAAUCUUGUUCUUUCCCUUUCACCAACGCUAUUUAGUUAAAAAUUUAAUUUAAAUUCCUCGAUUGCGUUUAUGGACGUUUUGCCAUUUAUUAGAGAAUAAUAAAAAUACAUUGCGUGUAGAAUUACGGAAUGAAAAAGUGUUACAUUCAGUAUUUUAAUGAUUACAUGUUAAUAUUCUGUUCAAAUAUAGAAUGUAUAUCGCAAUUGUGCAAUGGAUACAGACAUUGUAAUAAAUGCAAACACAUUGCAGAAUGUUAAUAAUUUCACUUUAAACCUAUUUGAAAAUCCAUUUUCUUGCAUAUUGAUUUGUAAAAUGAAUGGUUUUCUGGUUACUUUGCAGGUAUUUCUCUUGGUAAGUGAUUUCCUUUAUCUAUGUAUUUAGGAUAGCUAAAAAAAAUCCCAAAGAAUCUAUCCCCACCCUUCCCAGCCUCAACUAUAUUUUCACUCAUUUUUGUUUCAAAUGAAAGCUCGUUACUAUCAGAUAAUUCAUCCCAAUUGAGAGAGAAACCUCAAAAACACUAUUUUAACGUGCAAUUAUUAAUUCAUCUAUUAAGAUGUCACUUAUUAGAAUUGGCUGGUAUGACUAAAUAUAGCGAAUAGCUGACUAUCGAAAACGACCAGUUAUAAUAUAAAAGAAAAAAAAAAAAAAUUAGACACUCUUGAGAGCCAUGCGAAGGACUCUUUAAUAAAUGAUGAUGCGAAUUUUGAAUUCGGUCCAUUCCGAGAGAUACGAACCAGAGGGAAAUGUUUCCAGACGCUUAUUGUAAUGUGGCGACGCCUCCCUCUCUCUGCUUAUCAAGAGCGCAGAUUGAUAAAAAAAGAAUGCUGAACAUACGAAUGGAAGAUGUGGCUCUAAUCAACAGAAUCGUUGUUAAUUCCAAAAAUUGUUUAUAAAUAAAUACCUAUAGCCACUGCACAGAAUAGCGAUCGGCCACAACAAAUCCUGUCGAUACUGCUACGUUCAGUGGUGGCGGGGUGGUCGGCUGUACGCAAGAAGAUAUUAAACUAUUUAUCCUAGAGCGUGGAGCCAGCUGUUGUAUCACUCAAUCGUCAAAACUUCUAACACACAAUAACUUUUUUCUAAUACACAAUAGCUUUUUUCCAGAAAUAAUUGACGCAUUUUAUAAUACUUGAUUUUCUUCUCAAUGCGCAGGUGUUCAACAUAAAAAUGUCACAUUUUGAAAAGGUGAAGGGAGAACACUCCCUCUAAUGACCAAGUCAAUUGCUCUGCAUCUAGAUGCACUUUUAAUAUUAAUUUCAAAUAAAGUCCGCAUCAAGAAGGCCAAUAAAUACCUGAUUAAAAUGGAAUAUUCUGUCGCUAUUUUAAUACUGAAGGUGGAAUCUUGCAAAUGAGUGAAGUGAAAUUUGACAAUGUGCUUCUGUACGGAGCAUUAAGUGCUCUUUCUUUUUUGGCGAUCACUUAGUUAUUAAAAUUCACAAACUGCUUUUCCCUUGAUGUCGAUUUAGCUUGUAAAAUUUUAAUUCAUAUUGUAUGAAUUAUGUCUCUUUUGAGUAAUGAGUAGAGCCAGAUCGAUCAAACUUAAUAUCUGAACAUCACCUUUGAAUCGAAUUCAUUCUUUUAUCAUAGGAUUUGCAUUCGUCUUGUAGGAGGCGGUGAAUACAAUUAUUCCUAUUUUAAUGUUGUUUUCAUGCUAUCAUCAUUGUAUCAUUAUAAGAUGGUUUCAAUGAUUUUUUAAAUAUAUAUAUAUAUGAUGAAAAAAUACAUAUUGAGGCUACAAUCCUUUUUUUUUUUAUUAUUGGAGUGUUAAGCCUUAUUAUUUUGGUACUGCAUUAGAAGCAUGUUACUGUAGUAAAAUUUUAUUUCAGAAAUUUGCGUCUGCGUUGCCUAUGAAGAACAACUGUGAUUUAGUUAAGUAACAAGCUGUAAUAGAAUUGGUUUAUAUUUUUGUGCGAUAUGCAUAUCAAAUUGAUUUUAAAGUCAUUUCGCGUCCCACGGUAGAAACAUUAAUGCUAUAUCAAAAAACAACGAUAGGCAGUGUGCAAUAGGAUAUUAGAAGAUGUGCUUAGUUACAUUUAUUUUCUGACGCUGGCUUCGUGGGAACUGACUACGUUGACUAUGCAUACUUAAGAAAACAGGAAUGAAUAUUUAUUUUUACCCGUUUCAAAUUGCCAGACACCGUUCAUCAAAGAGCUUCAUUAUUGUCCUAAUGUUCAUGCAUCUGUGAUUGUAAUUAGCGACAACUCAAGUUUUUUCUCGCGUAGUUCAUGUUCUUGGGAGUAUGCAAAGAAUUCCUCGAAAUUAAACACGUUGCAUUGUAAAUAUUCAAGUUUAUUGAGCACAGUUUUAUUUCUGGGUGUACGAAAUUAAAUUCUAUUCAAAUGUAUCCCUUACGAACCAUGAAAUGAAUCGGCUUAUCAGAAUUUUUAUUACAAUUUAUAAAUUAUUUUUACAUGUAUUUUAUUUAGGUUCAUAUUUAGAAUUACUUAAGGUAUUGGUUUACCUUGAUAUUUCUCGCAUAAUUAUGUCUUGUCUACGAACAGUAGGUAAUUCAUAAUCGUAAAAAUUGAGAAUUAGGGUUGAUUUCCCUCAUAAUCGUAAGAUUUAUAUAUAUAUAUAUAAUAUAGAUAUAUAUAUAUAUAUAUAUAUAUAUAGAUAUUUUCCCCUGGGAUUACAUUUGGUUCCCGGGAAAAAACACGCUGAUAAACAAAAUUAUAAAUUAUAUUGAAACUUAAAUGUUUAAAUUAUCUUUAAAAAAAUAGUUAUUUUUGCAGGAACGAAAAAAAAAAAGAAAUAAUAAAGAGUAAAUUAUUUAUUAUUUUCAUAUUCAAUACUCUCAAGAUCAUAGAGCUGAGAUACUAUCAGCUCUAUGCUCAAGAUGUUUAAAAUUAAAAUAUGUGCUUUAGUUCUUUUUCCCAGUUUAUCCAGAAAACUCUUGUCCAGAAUUCUAGUAACGUCGAUUGUUAAUAUAUGAUAUUUAAAUUUUGGCAGAAAGCACGAUGUUGUCCAGUUGCUUUUGAUUUUUCACGUUCACUAAAUAAAAACUCUUUUAUACAACAAUAAGCUGAAAUAAAUAUGACAAGGCUUUUUUUGCGAGGAAGACGAAUUAUUGCCCAAUUUUUCGCACUCAAGAAAGCGUUGAAAUGUUGGAAGCGAAAUCUUUAACGUUGUACAAAAAGAUUGUUCAAAAAAUAUUUUAAAAAAUCCAUUCAAACGUUUUACGUUGUUCAGCAGCAAUAGUUCUAGUUUGAACAAGAUGCAAAGUAUUUGACUGAACAGAAAAUUGAGGAUUAAAUAUUAUGAAACUAGGCAUGGCUUUGGAAACAAUUCCUCCGACAUCAGUUGAAGAUGGGACACAUUUUCUGUCGUCGAGUUGUUCAUAACAAAGCUAAGAACUGGGCUGAGUGAUGAUAAUAUAGAUUGUUUAUGUUUUCUUUUACUAUACUUUAGAAAUGAAUAAUGAAAAUAGUUUCUUUAUAUUUUGCAGACUAAUAUAUAUACAGGAGUAUACAUUUUGGAAUGAACGAAUAUCCUAAUUUUGUGCAAUUGUAAUCGAUAUCAAAAAAACUAAUUUUUAGAUUUUGUUCAAACUUUGAUGCAUUUUCGACAUGACUUACAUCCUCAUGAUUACUCGGAGGAUUAAGAAGGGAUUUAGGAAUUCAGAAAUCGUAGUCCAACAAUUCUGCCUCGAGGUUUCAAUGAAUCUUUUUUUUUGGGGGGGGGGAUAUGAAUUAUGUCUUUGAAUACGGCAACGCAAAGAGCGAGUGUGAUGAAAUUUUGAAUACGAUCUUUACACUUAAAUUAUUGAUUUAUAUACAAUUUUAUACUUAAACUAUUAAAAAGGAAAAAUCUGCUAGUUUAUUAGUCCUGGUCUUUAUGAAUAUGAUAACUCAAAUAAACAAAACAAUUAAAAUUUGAUAUGCACCAAAACGUUUGGUAUGCAUCAAAAUUUCGAUCUAACUGAAGGAAGUAAUUGCAUUCUUUUCACUGAAGGAUAAAAGGCAGAUGAUGAUGUGAAGAACAACAUUUAGCGUUAUCCUUGAAAUGAAUGAAACCAUGAGAAGAAUUUCUCAAAAAUAGGGUCCUUAUUAAGCCAGUUAAAAGUUCUUUAGAAAAUGAAGAAUUAUUUUUAUUUUUGGCAGUUUUUAUUUUCAUUAUAAGUUUAGUAUUAAAAAGCAUCUAAGAUGCCGUUGAAAUGACAUUGUUUUAUUUCGUCUUUAAUAAGAGGAGGGAAUACCUUUUUAUCAUUCUGUUUCUAUUUUAUUGUUAUGGUUAU
This is a long non-coding RNA of Argiope bruennichi, 5365 nucleotides long. RefSeq lists it as uncharacterized. The record is from RefSeq and is a predicted model, not a curated record. The transcript has 3 exons. Lineage: Eukaryota; Metazoa; Arthropoda; Arachnida; Araneae; Araneidae.